This 71-nucleotide transfer RNA is filed under the name Candidatus Aenigmatarchaeota archaeon. Its description in RNAcentral is "tRNA-Trp". It matches the Rfam family "tRNA". Rfam says of the family: Transfer RNA (tRNA) molecules are approximately 80 nucleotides in length. Their secondary structure includes four short double-helical elements and three loops (D, anti-codon, and T loops). The record is from RNAcentral. Lineage: Archaea; Nanobdellati; Candidatus Aenigmatarchaeota.
GGGGUCAUGGUGUAAUGGUAUCACGGUAGGCUCCAGACCUGCAGAUCGGGGUUCGAUUCCUCGUGGCCCCA